This 454-nucleotide ribosomal RNA is filed under the name uncultured bacterium. RNAcentral's name for it is "bacterial SSU rRNA". It matches the Rfam family "Bacterial small subunit ribosomal RNA", at positions 329 to 793 of the family's 1533-position model. The record is from RNAcentral.
GGCCAGACUCCUACGGGAGGCAGCAGUAGGGAAUUUUCGGCAAUGGGGGGAACCCUGACCGAGCAACGCCGCGUGAACGAAGAAGUUAUUCGUAAUGUAAAGUUCUUUUAUCAGGGAAGAAAGAGGAAUUUGACGGUACCUGAGGAAUAAGCCCCGGCUAACUACGUGCCAGCAGCCGCGGUAAUACGUAGGGGGCGAGCGUUAUCCGGAUUCACUGGGUGUAAAGGGAGCGUAGACGGCCAAGCAAGCCAGGGGUGAAAGCCCGGGGCCCAACCCCGGGACUGCCCUUGGAACUGCAUGGCUGGAGUGCGGGAGGGGCAGGCGGAAUUCCUGGUGUAGCGGUGAAAUGCGUAGAUAUCAGGAGGAACACCGGUGGCGAAGGCGGCCUGCUGGACUGCAACUGACGUUGAGGCCCGAAAGCGUGGGGAGCAAACAGGAUUAGAUACCCUGGUAC